GACGAACGCUGGCGGCGUGCCUAAUACAUGCAAGUUGAGCGCUGAAGGUUGGUACUUGUACCAACUGGAUGAGCAGCGAACGGGUGAGUAACGCGUGGGGAAUCUGCCUUUGAGCGGGGGACAACAUUUGGAAACGAAUGCUAAUACCGCAUAAAAACUUUAAACACAAGUUUUAAGUUUGAAAGAUGCAAUUGCAUCACUCAAAGAUGAUCCCGCGUUGUAUUAGCUAGUUGGUGAGGUAAAGGCUCACCAAGGCGAUGAUACAUAGCCGACCUGAGAGGGUGAUCGGCCACAUUGGGACUGAGACACGGCCCAAACUCCUACGGGAGGCAGCAGUAGGGAAUCUUCGGCAAUGGACGAAAGUCUGACCGAGCAACGCCGCGUGAGUGAAGAAGGUUUUCGGAUCGUAAAACUCUGUUGGUAGAGGAGAACGUUGGUGAGAGUGGAAAGCUCAUCAAGUGACGGUAACUACCCAGAAAGGGACGGCUAACUACGUG
Molecule: ribosomal RNA, 497 nt
Filed under: uncultured bacterium
Lineage: Bacteria
Description: partial 16S ribosomal RNA
Rfam family: Bacterial small subunit ribosomal RNA
Source: RNAcentral